RNAcentral lists this ribosomal RNA (491 nucleotides) under uncultured Oscillospiraceae bacterium. RNAcentral's name for it is "partial 16S ribosomal RNA". Lineage: Bacteria; Bacillati; Bacillota; Clostridia; Eubacteriales; Oscillospiraceae. The record is from RNAcentral.
CACGUAGUUAGCCGGAGCUUGCUUUUCAGGUACUGUCAUUUGUUUCAUCCCUGAUCACUUAGGUUUACAACCCGAAGGCCGUCUCCCCUCACGCGGCGUUGCUGGUUCAGGGUUUCCCCCAUUGACCAAUAUCCCCCACUGCUGCCUCCCGUAGGAGUCUGGGCCGUGUCUCAGUCCCAAUGCGGCCGAUCAACCUCUCAGUUCGGCUACCGAUCGUCGCCUUGGUAGGCCGUUACCCCACCAACUAGCUAAUCGGACGCGAGGCCAUCCUUCAGCGGAUUGCUCCUUUGAUAUCGGGACGAUGCCAUCCCAAUAUGUUAUGCGGUAUUAGCGCCCGUUUCCGGUCGUUAUUCCCCACUCAAGGGCAGGUUCCUCACGCGUUACUCGCCCGUCCGCCACUAACUCGGAGGAGCAAGCUCCUCCUCGUCCGUUCGACUUGCAUGUGUUAGGCACGCCGCCAGCGUUCGUCCUGAGCCAGGACGUCAACUACU